UUUACCAUGCAGUCGAGGGGUACAGGGGAGCUUGCUUCUGCUGACGACCGGCGCACGGGUGCUUAACGCGUAUAGAAUCUACCUUGUACUAAGGGAUAGCCUUUGGAAACGAAGAUUAAUACCUUAUAGUAUAUCGACUCGGCAUCGGGAUGAUAUUAAAGAUUACGGUACAAGAUGACUAUGCGUUCUAUUAGCUAGAUGGUGUGGUAACGGCACACCAUGGCAACGAUAGAUAGGGGCCCUGAGAGGGGGAUCCCCCACACUGGUACUGAGACACGGACCAGACUCCUACGGGAGGCAGCAGUGAGGAAUAUUGGACAAUGGAGGCAACUCUGAUCCAGCCAUGCCGCGUGCAGGAAGACUGCCCUAUGGGUUGUAAACUGCUUUUAUACAGGAAGAAACACCUCUACGUGUAGAGGCUUGACGGUACUGUAAGAAUAAGGAUCGGCUAACUCCGUGCCAGCAGCCGCGGUAAUACGGAGGAUCCAAGCGUUAUCCGGAAUCAUUGGGUUUAAAGGGUCCGUAGGUGGAUAAUUAAGUCAGAGGUGAAAUCCUGCAGCUCAACUGUAGAAUUGCCUUUGAUACUGGUUAUCUUGAGUUAUUAUGAAGUAGUUAGAAUAUGUAGU
Molecule: ribosomal RNA, 626 nt
Filed under: Bacteroidetes bacterium b1b1
Lineage: Bacteria; Pseudomonadati; Bacteroidota
Also listed under: 1 other name
Description: bacterial SSU rRNA
Rfam family: Bacterial small subunit ribosomal RNA
Source: RNAcentral